UUAAGGGAUCAAGUAAAGCAGAUAAGUUACAUCAGCUUUCUGCUUCAUUUGAGUUCUGGCAUAAUGGUAUACACCAUACCGAUCUUAGAAACAAAUGCCUUUACGAGAAGAAUGACGAAUGCUGUUGGACAGUUUUUGAUGCAUACCACAACUUGAAACAGUGUAUUCUUGACAGCACAAUUAAUGUUUUUCACCGGCAUAUUGUACCUCAAAUUAAAAGUAGGAAAAAAGUGUUUAUUUU
RNAcentral lists this long non-coding RNA (241 nucleotides) under Mytilus galloprovincialis (Mediterranean mussel). Lineage: Eukaryota; Metazoa; Mollusca; Bivalvia; Mytilida; Mytilidae. The record is from RNAcentral.